UAAAUUUAUGGGUUCGAAUCCCUAAGUUGGCAUUUCUAUGAUUCUAUUGUUACGACCCAAACUCCAUAUUUAUAAUGUCGUGACGUCACCUAGUCUCUACGAUUAGGUAAGCCUAACAAAUUGCGGAAAAUAACAAAACGAAAAUAAAACUUAGCAACUAACAGCAGUGGAUAACUGAAUAACUAGUAAAAAUGCCGCCUGGCAUGUACAAAUAUCAAUACUCUAUAAUUGCACAGUCUUCCCAAAACGAAACAUCGUAAGUCACAAGCUAAAGAAGGAAACUAGUAUCUCUAUACACCAGAGUCUAACAAAAGAAGUACAUAAGGUAAUUGACAUAGGGGAGAAUAGAAGGGGACUCCGAGGUCUGUGGACGCGACAGAUAUACCCUGAAGUCUCCGUACAGCAGCAAACACUCUCAGCUAAUAGCGGGGCUGAUAAGAAGUACUUGGAUCUGCACACAAAAACAUGUGCAGAAGAGUAGCGUGAGUACACUACAACGGUACCCAAUAAGUGCCAAGCCUAACCUCGGUCGAGUAGUGACGAGGUCAGGUCAGGCCCACUAGUAAAUAAUAAAUAAGGCAGGAGAAUAUAUACAGUAUAAUAAGAGACUAGAAUUUAACAAAAGGAAGCACCGGAAGGCAGUAGUACAACACACAGGAGUAAACAACAUGGUAUCUCCCGAAAUAUCGUCUCGUAGUCCCAAAAUAAAUAUAUAUGGAGAACUUCCGAGGUACCGCCUCGUAGUCUCAAAAGUAAAUAUACAGGGAGAGCUCCCAAGAUACUACCUUGUAGUCUCAAAAGUAAAUAUGCAGGGAGAACUCCCGAAGAAUCGCCUCGUAGUCUCAAAAGUAACUGUACAGGGAGAACUCCCGAGGUACCACCUCGUAGUCUCAAAAGUAAAUGUGUAGGGAGAACUCCCGAGGAACCGCCUCGUAGUCUCAAAAGUAAACACACAGUUCAAACCAGUAAAUACAACAAAUAGCAAGAUUUCUACAGUUAUACUGAUAAAGAACAAGGAAAAAUAGGAAAUCAACUAGGCAUGCUUCACAGAGUUCAAAUAAACAGUUAAAGCACGUAGACAUGCGAUAUUAGACUAAACAGGAUAACUACACAUAUUGGAAUAGCUCAAUUAAGAAUGAAAACAGACUAAUACUUAUUUAAACGGUAUAACUCAAAUGAAAGGGAAAACAGGUUGCUACUUAGUAAAAUAAAUCGGAAAAUCCCUCGCAGGUGCGGAAAUGACUUAAGGGGCUGGGUCCGCAUCUGCGAGCAAGGGACCGUACCUACGCGCCCGCUCCUACGGAUAUCUUUCAUUUCUGCGAAACCUCACGCUCCAGGCCCCGUCCGCUUCUGCGCUCCAUCUUUCGCACGUGCGAGUCUUCACCUGCGGUCUCCCCACCGCAGGUGCGAAAACACUAGAAACCAGAAACCUCAGCAAAAACACAAGUAAAAUUUUCGAUCCGUUAAGCAUCCGAAAUACACCCGAGGCCCCAGGACCUCAACCAAAGAUACUAAAAAGUCCUAAAAUACCAUACGCACUUAGUCGAGCCCUCAAAUCACAUCAAACAAUGCUAAAAUAUGAAUCACCCUCCGAUUCAAACUUAAUGAACUUGAAACUUCCAAUUUCUACAAUCGAUGCUGGAACCUAUCAAACCACGUCCGAUUGACCCCAAAUUUUGCACACAAGUCAUAUUCAACCCUAUAGACCUACUCCAACUUCCGAAAUCGGAAUCCGACCCUAAUUUCAAAAAUUUCACUACCGGUCAAAAUCUUCAAAAAUUCAACUUUCGCCAUUUCAAGCCUAAAUGAAAUACAGACCUCCAAAACAAAAUUCGGACAUACCCCUAAGCCCAAAAUCACUCAACGGAGCUAACGGAACCGAUAAAACUCUAUUCCGGAGUCGUCUUCAUACAGUUCCGACUACGGUCAAUAAUUCUAAGGCUUAAGCUUCCAUUUAGGGACUAAGUGUCCCAAUAAUACUCUGAAACCAACAACAAAACCUCCCGGCAAGUAACAUAAGCAGAAAAAGAUAUGGGGGAAGCAAUUAAUAGGGGAUCGGGGCUAUUACUCUCAAAACGACAUGCCGGGUCGUUACAUCUAUCUGCCUAUUUAUUUUUUGAAACUAAACAGGGAUCAUAUUCGGCUAUUUGACUCUCUUUUUUAAUCUUAAAACUUCUUAAUAUAAAUAACUCUUAAAAUUUGUGUAAAACCAAAUAACUUAAAAAAUAAACAACUUAUCAUAGAAGUAGUUUUUUAUUUAUAAGUUAUUUAAGAAAAAUUAUAUAUUAAAUGCCAAGCGCUACAAAAAUUUAUUUAACAAAAAGUUCUCAUAGAAAACUUCUCGAUCCUCUCUUUCUUCUGAUUCUAUGCUUACUGUCACGAUCCAAAAUUACGUGACUGGUACCUGGCACACUACCCGACCCGAGCGAACCAAACAUGACGUCUUUCAUGAAAACCAAUUUUAACUGCGGAAGCUUCUUGAAAAUCAUAUACAUUUUCAAGUUAAAUGAUAAAAUAUUUUCCAAUUCAAAAUCACACAUGACGUCUUGCAUGAUAAUAAAAAUGAGACUAAGUAAAAUAAAUAUACUUUUAUGUAUAUUGUGUACAACCCCGUUAUUACAACUUUUCACAACUAUCUAUGGAGUCUUUAUACCAAAGAACAGAAUUAAACAAUUGGGUUAAUACCCGACUAGCGUAAAUUAAGAAAACAACAUGAUAACUACCGCGAAACAGGAGUGGUGCCUUACCAUAUACCUCAGGAAGAAAGUCAUCCUAGCCCUGACCGCAUGCCACGUAUCAUACCUCAUCCUGAAAUAUGUAAAGUAAGCGG
Molecule: long non-coding RNA, 2830 nt
Filed under: Nicotiana tabacum (common tobacco)
Lineage: Eukaryota; Viridiplantae; Streptophyta; Magnoliopsida; Solanales; Solanaceae
Description: long non-coding RNA (NTAB_LNC011848)
Source: RNAcentral